UAUAUAUAUAUAUAUAUCCCCAGAUUUAAAAAUAUAUAUAUAUGCGGAUUUACCCGUCCAUGUAGAAUUAGGGAAUUACGUGGCCCUAAAAUUUGCUGGCAUAUCGGUCAAAUCGGUCAAACCCAUCUAAAUUUAUUAGAAAUGGAAUGGUCAAAUGCCGAUUUGCCGCAAGAAUCUAAAUUAAAUGUCUCGUUGGCCAUCGAACUUUUCGUAGAGAGAAAUGCAAUUCAAUUAUUCUAGCCCACAACAAAUAGUCAAAUCUGAGGCAUAUAAAUACAGGGCCUAACUCCUAGGAUUGCAAAUCUCCCUUCUAGAUCGUUUAGUCUGCAGCACAGUUUCUGAUGCUAAGGAUCCUCAAAAAAGGCAAUAGCAGAGCAUAUUUUUGUUACUACUCAAAUUGCUGGUUUUACAUGACUGAUAAAACUAAUAUUAGUACUCCGGAUUCCAAUGAGAAAUAAGAGAAAUUAGAAACUCAUGAUCUAAAGGAACUCAAGGAUUUAUUUUCUGAAAAUAUUUCGAUG
RNAcentral lists this long non-coding RNA (521 nucleotides) under Olea europaea (common olive). RNAcentral's name for it is "long non-coding RNA (OEUR_LNC006987)". Lineage: Eukaryota; Viridiplantae; Streptophyta; Magnoliopsida; Lamiales; Oleaceae. The record is from RNAcentral.